CCAUAUUAUCACACUUAAAAAAAACAAAAUUUAGAGACUAAAUAAAAAAAAUCACCAAAAUUUUGGAUUAAGGUGAAAAAAAAAAUUAAAGACUAAAUUAAAAAAAAUGAAGUUUAAUAACUAAAGGUUGAUUUAUCCCAAAUUCAAUGUCAUUUGUCAUUACGAGGGUCAUCAUCUCCAAGUUGAAGAAAGAAAACCAC
This 200-nucleotide long non-coding RNA is filed under the name Gossypium raimondii (Peruvian cotton). RNAcentral describes it as "long non-coding RNA (GRAI_LNC005318)". Lineage: Eukaryota; Viridiplantae; Streptophyta; Magnoliopsida; Malvales; Malvaceae. The record is from RNAcentral.